This is a ribosomal RNA of 439 nucleotides. It matches the Rfam family "Bacterial large subunit ribosomal RNA", at positions 1828 to 2596 of the family's 2925-position model.
AGCCUAGAGAGAACUGUUUUAGGUAAGGCCUGCCCAAUGCCGAAACUGGUAAAUGGCCGCAGUACCCUGACUGUGCUAAGGUAGCGUAAUCAGUUGGCUUUUAAAUGGAGUCGUGUAUGAAGGGACUGAUGGGGUUAAGCUGUCUCUACUAAAUUUAUUCGAAAUUAAUAAGGAGGUGAAAAUACCUCCGUGAAGAUAAAGGACGAUAAGACCCUUGGAGUUUUCACUAAAAUAGCCUUAUUGGCUUGUUGUUUUUGCUGGGGCGGCAUAGGGGGAUUUUAAACCCCCUUUAGUUUGAUAAGCCGAAAGUUUUAAGCGUAACUAAACUACCCGAGGGAUAACAGCAUUAUUCUUUAUAGAGUUUGUGACCUCGAUGUUGGACUAGGAAUUAAUUAGGCUAGCCGCUUAAAUCUAUUGUUCUGUUCGAACUAGUUUUCCU